AGAUAUCAUCGUGUUGCGAAAUGUGUCAUGGUCAUCCUGUUGCAUCUACGGCUCGAUGCUUUCACUAACGACAACUUUACCCAUCGAUGCCAGAAAAUGCGCACCUUUUUUCUGAUGAGAUAAAAACUGAUGUUUUAUUACUUGAAUAAGGUCAAUGCGAAAAUUCGUCACCUUUGAAUAAUUAUUUAGCAAGUCAUUGCUGACGGCACGAGGAAGAAAAAAGUAGUUGCACAAGAUUUAUAUGUGAUGAUUAUAUUAAUUCAUGCCGUCGAUUGAAAUCUAUUCUAAAUACAUGAAGCUGAUUCUCCAUGUAAGCUGUUCCUCAGAUCUCUCCAAGCAUGAAUCCUUACAGAUAAGGAAUACAGAUGAAGGCAACGCAGAUGGAGACUUUAUACGAGUAACAAUAAUGAAAAUACCAAGUACAACAAAUGAACCGCGUUGUUCUCCGGU
This is a long non-coding RNA of Megachile rotundata (alfalfa leafcutting bee), 450 nucleotides long. The record is from RefSeq and is a predicted model, not a curated record. NCBI's taxonomy places the organism in Eukaryota, Metazoa, Arthropoda, Insecta, Hymenoptera, Megachilidae.